This 490-nucleotide ribosomal RNA is filed under the name uncultured bacterium. RNAcentral's name for it is "partial 16S ribosomal RNA". It matches the Rfam family "Bacterial small subunit ribosomal RNA", at positions 30 to 507 of the family's 1533-position model. The record is from RNAcentral.
AUUGAACGCUGGCGGCAGGCCUAACACAUGCAAGUCGAACGGUAACAGGAAACAGCUUGCUGUUUCGCUGACGAGUGGCGGACGGGUGGGUCAUGUCUGGGAAACUGCCUGAUGGAGGGGGAUAACUACUGGAAACGGUAGCUAAUACCGCAUAACGUCUCAAGACCAAAGAGGGGGACCUUCGGGCCUCUUGCCAUCAGAUGUGCCCAGAUGGGAUUAGCUAGUAGGUGGGGUAACGGCUCACCUAGGCGCCGAUCCCUAGCUGGUCUGAGAGGAUGACCGGCCACACUGGAACUGAGACACGGUCCAGACUCCUACGGGAGGCAGCAGUGGGGAAUAUUGCACAAAGGGCGCAAGCCUGAUGCAGCCAUGCCGCGUGUAUGAAGAAGGCCUUCGGGUUGUAAAGUACUUUCAGCGGGGAGGAAGGGAGUAAAGUUAAUACCUUUGCUCAUUGACGUUACCCGCAGAAGAAGCACCGGCUAACUCCGUG